CGGUCCAGACUCCUACGGGAGGCAGCAGUGAGGAAUAUUGGUCAAUGGAGGCAACUCUGAACCAGCCAAGUCGCGUGAAGGAUGAAGGUCUUAUGGAUUGUAAACUUCUUUUGCAAGGGAAUAAAGUGGGGGACGUGUCCUCCUUUGCAUGUACCUUGCGAAUAAGGAUCGGCUAACUCCGUGCCAGCAGCCGCGGUAA
RNAcentral lists this ribosomal RNA (199 nucleotides) under uncultured bacterium. RNAcentral describes it as "partial 16S ribosomal RNA". It matches the Rfam family "Bacterial small subunit ribosomal RNA", at positions 327 to 523 of the family's 1533-position model. The record is from RNAcentral.